This 438-nucleotide ribosomal RNA is filed under the name uncultured bacterium. Its description in RNAcentral is "bacterial SSU rRNA". It matches the Rfam family "Bacterial small subunit ribosomal RNA", at positions 355 to 786 of the family's 1533-position model. The record is from RNAcentral.
UGGGGAAUAUUGCGCAAUGGGUGAAAGCCUGACGCAGCGACGCCGCGUGAGGGAUGAAGGUCUUCGGAUCGUAAACCUCUGUCAGCAGGGAAGAAAUUUUAGUGUGCUAAUCAGCAUUAAAUUGACGGUACCUGCAAAGGAAGCACCGGCUAACUCCGUGCCAGCAGCCGCGGUAAUACGGAGGGUGCGAGCGUUAAUCGGAAUUACUGGGCGUAAAGCGCUCGUAGGUGGUAUGUCAAGUCAAGGGUGAAAUCCCCGCGCUCAACGUGGGAACUGCCUUUGAAACUGGUAGACUUGAGUGUGUGAGAGGAUAGUGGAAUUCCAGGUGUAGGAGUGAAAUCCGUAGAUAUCUGGAGGAACAUCAGUGGCGAAGGCGGCUAUCUGGCACAUAACUGACACUGAGGAGCGAAGCGUGGGUAGCAAACAGGAUUAGAUACC